This 208-nucleotide ribosomal RNA is filed under the name uncultured bacterium. Its description in RNAcentral is "partial 16S ribosomal RNA". It matches the Rfam family "Bacterial small subunit ribosomal RNA", at positions 335 to 560 of the family's 1533-position model. The record is from RNAcentral.
ACUCCUACGGGAGGCAGCAGUGAGGAAUCUUCCACAAUGGGGGCAACCCUGAUGGAGCAACGCCGCGUGCAGGAUGAAGGCCUUCGGGUCGUAAACUGCUUUUAUAAGUGAAGAAUAUGACGGUAACUUAUGAAUAAGGAUCGGCUAACUACGUGCCAGCAGCCGCGGUAAUACGUAGGAGGCGAGCGUUAUCCGGAUUUACUGGGCG